GGGGGAAUAGCUCAGUCUGGGAGAGCAUCAGACUUGAAGAUUUUGAAGGUCACGUGUUUGAUCCACGUUUACCGUA
RNAcentral lists this transfer RNA (76 nucleotides) under Capsicum annuum. It matches the Rfam family "tRNA". Rfam says of the family: Transfer RNA (tRNA) molecules are approximately 80 nucleotides in length. Their secondary structure includes four short double-helical elements and three loops (D, anti-codon, and T loops). The record is from Rfam by way of RNAcentral. Lineage: Eukaryota; Viridiplantae; Streptophyta; Magnoliopsida; Solanales; Solanaceae.